UGACGACCAUAGCGACUUGGUACCACUCCUUCCCAUCCCGAACAGGACAGUGAAACGAGUCAGCGCCGAUGAUAGUGCGGAUCCCCGUGUGAAAGUAGGUCAUCGUCA
This 108-nucleotide ribosomal RNA is filed under the name Comamonadaceae bacterium. Lineage: Bacteria; Pseudomonadati; Pseudomonadota; Betaproteobacteria; Burkholderiales; Comamonadaceae. The record is from RNAcentral. RNAcentral also lists the same sequence under 1 other name.